Long non-coding RNA from Panonychus citri (citrus red mite), 822 nucleotides. RefSeq lists it as uncharacterized. The transcript has 2 exons. The record is from RefSeq and is a predicted model, not a curated record. Lineage: Eukaryota; Metazoa; Arthropoda; Arachnida; Trombidiformes; Tetranychidae.
AUUUUCUAAGAAUUUCAAAUUGAAAUCAAUCAUAAUUUUCUUAAUUGUUAUUGAUUAAUUUUCUAAUUUUUUUUUGUUCUUUUUCACCUUUAAUAUAAAUUUUUAACCAUCUCAACAUCUUGAUUAUCAAGAAAAUUAGUGGAAAAUACUGGAAAUUUUAUAUUUAUAUUAACAUUCUCACAGUUUGGCUUCGGGUCUCUCUCAACAAAACCAUUUCCAAGGAGGAGGGAAAACAAAAUCAACAUAUUGAACCAACUAGAAGCGGAAAUAAUAACAAUCAUCACCAUCAAUAAAUUCAAUGAUAAUCAAGUUAAUCAGUUGCUGACUUUUUUGGCUACCAAAGAAACUGUGUUAAUAAUUACACUCCAUGGAUCAAGAUGAAGAUUUAGAUUAGUGUUAAAGACCUUUCACUUACUUGGUUAAUUUGUUUACAUAACAAUUAGAUUGUUGCUGUUAAAUAUAAUUUCCUUCAUCAUCAUCAAGUAGUUUAAAGUGUUGGUUAGUUGAUUGUUAAUGAUUAACUUGCUAAAAAGCUUCAGAUUUUCAACCCAUGGCCUCAAAAAACACAAAUUAUUACUAAUUGUCUAAUUACUGGAAUACAAAACACACACUGGAAAAAGAUGGUUACUUGCCAAUCUAUUUAAUCAUGAUAAUUCACUCCUAUUAUUAUUGUUAAUAACUAAUUAGAAUGUUGUUGUUUUGAUAAUCACAGUUAAUACACUUGUUUAAUCAUUACAAUUAACAUUACAAUAGGGAUUGUAGUUAACAAUAAUAUCUUCAUGAUAACCAGAUAACUUUAAUAUUAUUAAUAUUACAGUUUUA